This 73-nucleotide transfer RNA is filed under the name Echinostoma caproni. It matches the Rfam family "tRNA". From Rfam's summary of the family: Transfer RNA (tRNA) molecules are approximately 80 nucleotides in length. Their secondary structure includes four short double-helical elements and three loops (D, anti-codon, and T loops). The record is from Rfam by way of RNAcentral. Lineage: Eukaryota; Metazoa; Platyhelminthes; Trematoda; Plagiorchiida; Echinostomatidae.
GGUGGUGGNGCCCGGUGGUAACGUCACCAAAUUAUGACUUCGGCGGACGUGUGUUCGAAUCCCAUCACCACCA